CAGGGUUCUUAAGAGGGUUUUUAAAAAUAAUGAAGCAUUUAAUUAAAUCAAAACUAAAGAAAAUUGCAGUUAUCGAUCCUUAAUAUAGGAUUUCUGUGACCGAUUACAAAGGGGGUUUCUAAGCCACGUGUCAGCAAACUAAAUAAUGAGGCAUUUUUUUUCUCUCUCCUCUUCUCUUUCGUGCCUCGUCUUCUCCGUCUCCUCCUGUGUUCUCCGCGGGACGACGAUGGCUUUUCGUUCUCUCCUUCACACCUACAAGGUUCAAACGAAAGCUAAAACCCCAUCUCACUUCGUUAAGCCUCCUCUACACUCGAUAAAUCUAUCUCUGUCUCCUUCUCCGUGGAUCUCUCAUUCGAUCGGAUGAUCUCUCUCCUCUGUUGAGUUUCAGAACUUCUCUGUGGAGAUCGAUGGCCACAUCCACUUGAAAGUGAGUUUGAUUGUAUUUUUGAAUUGGUUGCAGCUUGAUUUAAUAAUGGUGUUCUUUCUUGCAGUAAACCACAUGUAAAUGUGGGAACAAUUGGGCAUGUAGAACAUGGGAAGACUACUUUAACUGCUGCAAUCACAAAGGUUCUUGCUGAAGAGGGAAAAACUAAAGCUAUUGCCUUUGAUGAAAUUGAUAAAGCUCUCCAAGCCAAUGUUUUUGCUCUAGUCUGAUUCGGAUGGUCAAUCUAUGUUAAGAUUUGAUCUCGGCAUGAUCUUAAUCGCAACCGAUGAGUUCUCAGCGGGAAAUAAACUUGGACAAGGUGGAUUUGGAUCUGUCUACAAGGGGAUUUUACCGAGCGGACAAGAGAUAGCGGUAAAGAGAUUAGCUGGAGGGUCAGGACAAGGAGACUUAGAGUUCAAGAAUGAGGUUUUACUCUUAACAAGACUCCAACAUAGGAAUCUGGUUAAGCUUCUUGGCUUCUGUAAUGAAGGAGAUGGAGAGAUUCUUGUUUAAGAGCAUGUCCCUAAUUCAAGUCUUGAUCACUUUAUAUUCGAUGAACACAAACGUUGGCUACUUACUUGGGACGUGAGGUGUAUAAUCAUAGAAGGAGUUGCAAGAGGGCUUCUUUAUAUCCAUGAAGAUUCUCUUCUGGAUCAAAGCUUGGAGAGUUUAAGACACUUGCAAAGCUUGCUUUAUCUGACUCUGUUACUACAACAUCUAGGGCCUCAAACCUGAAUCCAUCUGGUAUUUCUCAGAACAAAGACUUAAUAAAAAAUA
This is a long non-coding RNA of Brassica napus (rape), 1201 nucleotides long. RefSeq lists it as uncharacterized. The transcript has 4 exons. The record is from RefSeq and is a predicted model, not a curated record. Lineage: Eukaryota; Viridiplantae; Streptophyta; Magnoliopsida; Brassicales; Brassicaceae.